This 253-nucleotide ribosomal RNA is filed under the name uncultured bacterium. Its description in RNAcentral is "partial 16S ribosomal RNA". It matches the Rfam family "Bacterial small subunit ribosomal RNA", at positions 524 to 776 of the family's 1533-position model. The record is from RNAcentral.
UACGGAGGGAGCUAGCGUUGUUCGGAAUUACUGGGCGUAAAGCGCGCGUAGGCGGCUUUGUAAGUUAGAGGUGAAAGCCCGGGGCUCAACCCCGGAAUUGCCUUUAAGACUGCAUCGCUCGAAUCCGGGAGAGGUGAGUGGAAUUCCGAGUGUAGAGGUGAAAUUCGUAGAUAUUCGGAAGAACACCAGUGGCGAAGGCGGCUCACUGGACCGGUAUUGACGCUGAGGCGCGAAAGCUAGGGGAGCAAACGGG